Molecule: long non-coding RNA, 3257 nt
Organism: Felis catus (domestic cat)
Lineage: Eukaryota; Metazoa; Chordata; Mammalia; Carnivora; Felidae
Exons: 2
Source: RefSeq, a predicted model, not a curated record
GCUUCCUGAGAAAGAGAACAGGGGGAAUACACUUCUGUGUCUUUCUAUAUAAAAAAAGCUUUAUACUCGUCUCGUAUGAUGUCUUCAUACACUCGAUGUGCCAUCCUCUGGCCCUCCCCCUUCCCUUCCCAUUUCUUUCUUCUUAGGAGUUUACGCCUUUUUUUCCCCUGUCAUUUAAUUGGCAUGUAACACCGGGGCAGAGAUGAAUGCACAUGUUUAGGCUCGUGUUAAGCAGAAGUCUCAUAAUGUGUGUGUAUUUAAUGGACUCCUUAUUUCAAUGCCGGUUCUCAUUAUUUGUGCAGGGUACUGCAUUUUGCAGAGUGAGCCCACCUCUGUGCCAGGCCGGCCCUGUUCGGUUGGCACUGUGGUGCACCCCUGAGAGCCGAUGAAAUGGAGAGUCAUAGAAGUGAAGUAACUUUCCCCAGACCACACAGUUUAAAGGCCAGAGCUGAGGUUCGAAGGCAAAUCUGAAUCAAAGACUGCUCCCUUUCUGCCCACCUGCACCGAUAGCCAAAGCCCCAGAGACAAGGCCCAUCACGGCCCUAUAUGGAUUAGCCCUGGGAGGCGCCGUGGCAGCCGGGGUGACUGAGAUGGGCACCGCGGAAGAGGGGACGAAUGAGGAUGGCAAAGAUAAACGGGCAGUGUAACUCCAGGCAGAGUGAGUCGCCGGGGCAGGUGGCUGGUGCCCGCUGGGGUACAGCAGGUAGCAACCUGGGGCGAGAUCCAACCGCAGGAAGAAGGGGUUAGAGUCCGAGGCUCCACCCCCGUGACCCUAAGUGACCUUAGGCAACUUACGUCUCUAAGAAUCUGCCUCGCUGCGAAGUGGGGGCCAUAACAGUUUCUUCAAAGCGCUAUUUGAAGGGUUAAAUAAUAUGUUAUAUGUGAAUGUUCACUGUGUUAACUUUAGAGCACUUAAUAAAUAUAAAAUAUUCCUCUGAUCAGCCUAGAAGGAUCAAUUAUGAUUAUGAAAGGCCUUAAAUUCCAACCUGAUGAAUCUUCUCAUUUUUAUAGGCAAAGGAGAAACGGAAAAUACGUCUGAUGGGGGAGUGGCAGUGUGGCGGAUAAAGCGAACCUCUGCUAGAAUAUCUUGCCCCUGACAUAUCAUUGUGCUUAUCGGUGAUUUACGAUCAACUGCUUUCCACUAACCGGUGGGCUUCUUGCGGGCAGCAUCAUGUGCUCGACAGCUUUCUAGCCAAAUGCCGAGCAAGGAUUGGUGCCCUGCGGGAGGCUGGAAUCUAUUUAAAAUGAGGCCAGCAUCAGCGGUACAAAGGCCACCCUCUGGCAGCCCAGGAAGAAUGUGCUGUAAUCAACAUUCUGGGAAGACUAGACAAGAAUGGAGAAGUCACCCACACCGGGAGCCCCAGGGAGCUUCGGGUCCCACUCCAGCACCAGGAGCUCAUCUAUUACACAGCACGGCGAUCAUAAACCGAUUUUUAUUCUGGGUGGGCGUGUGCGAGUUAUACUUAUCUCUUUCCCUCAUCAGAUUGUGAUUUCCUGAAGGGCACGGGCUACUCCUAUUCAACUUUUUAUCCCUACAUCUAGCACCUAGAACUGUGUGAUCACUCAGCGGUGACUGAGGUGAAGAGGGGAGGGAAGGAAAAAAGCGAGGACAGGAGAAAGGUCUGGGUGCUUGAGAAAGCCUCUCCUUUGCUUCAGAGGCUUGUUCUGGGGCUUCUGGAUUUUCGGUCCUUGGGGGCAGGCUGCGAGCUCUCACUGGCCCUUGGUGGUUCUUUCCAGGCUCCCCGUCAGCCUCACAGGGUUGUUGUAAACUGCUCUCGGAAAGGAGUCACAGAGGGAGCCCGUGCUAGGAUCACCCGUGCACUGAACACCCAGCUCAUCCCAGUGGCUAUUUCAGAGUGGAAGAUGGCAAAACGUUUUGAUUUCACUUUGUUUAAAAGCAAGUUGUUCCUUUUCCUGACUUUUAUAUCCCAAGGCUAAGAAACAGUAUAAAACAACUUUUAAAAAUGUAUUUCAAUGUUAUCCAUUGUUCACUAAAAGAGGGUCAUAAAGGGCACAAGAUGAGAGGAGACGCCGGGGCUCAUGUGAGUCGCUCGCGGAACGCAUUGGGAGAGCCCUUUCAAAAGAUUUGAUUUAGGAAGCAGGAAAUGAUUAAAACCGGAUGGCUCUGAUGAAAAUUAGAUUUAAAUUUUUCAUUAAAUUUGCAUAGUUGGAUGUAAUUUUACUUACGAUCUCCCCUAUAUUCCCUGCCUACAACAUUCAAAACAGGUAAGGCCAGGUGAACACCUGUGCGCGUAUGUAUGGGUGUAGGUACGCACACAUAUUUUUAAAUUAUCGAGUCCGGAUGAGAGUUUUUCUUAUGACAUACAGAUGUACAACAGUGUAUCCCCAGAUAUGUUUAAUUCACUUUCAUUACCAGCCCAUCUCUUUGCCACAUAAUCGUCACACAGUGGUUCCAACAGGACACCUGAGCGUGGAACGCCGACCCAGCCUUUAAAACACAAGUUUCGGAUUUGGUAUUUUAGCAGGUAAAAGUUCAGUUUUUGGUUUUAUCCUUAGAAGAGAGUACGUACAUAGCAUUUACUCCAUUUUUGUAAGGUAAAGACCGAUAAAUCCCCAAAGGCCUUGGCAUUUAGGACAAGGUUAAUGCUUUAUCCAUAAAUUUACUCCUUAAACUCUGUGAUUCCUUGUAUCCAAGUGAGAUACCCUGUUGGCUGGACAAUGGCCUAUAUCUUAAAUAUGCAGAGACCCUCCCGAGCACACGGAGUGUGAAGGAACCAUCGCGAAUGGACAAUUAGAAGUCCUAGCGAGUUUAGCCAUCUCUGGGUGUCUAAAAUAAGAAUGCCAGGGUAUGACUGAUACCCGGGAGAGCCUCUGGACUUCUCUACGUGAUGAUUAGCCUUCACUUUAUGGAGGCGUGACAACAACAUAAUAAUAGCCACCGUUUAUUUAUCUACUCCUGAAUGCUUACCAUGUGAGGGCGAAAGCCUCGUUAAUUCUUAUCUUAUUCAGUCCUCACAACAGUCCUGUGAAGUAGGUACUAUCAUCAUCCCAUUGUGUAACAAACAAACUGAGGGUUAGAGACGUUAAUUAACUUGUCCCAGGUCGGACGACUAAAAACGUUUGGGAGCCAUUUUUUUGAAUAAAAUUCUAACAAAGUCUACGUUUUAAACCGUUGUAAAGUCUUCCUGGUAAGACACACGUCUGUGGGAUCCCGUGAUUUGUAGUUAUUCAUUUUGUGUAUAGCUUGACGGAGAAAGUAUCAUUCUCGUUGCCUACACAUAAAAGCUUCAAACUGA